This 576-nucleotide ribosomal RNA is filed under the name Geosmithia eupagioceri. RNAcentral's name for it is "eukaryotic LSU rRNA". It matches the Rfam family "Eukaryotic large subunit ribosomal RNA", at positions 1 to 585 of the family's 3401-position model. The record is from RNAcentral. Lineage: Eukaryota; Fungi; Ascomycota; Sordariomycetes; Hypocreales; Bionectriaceae.
GGUUGACCUCGGAUCAGGUAGGAAUACCCGCUGAACUUAAGCAUAUCAAUAAGCGGAGGAAAAGAAACCAACAGGGAUUGCCUCAGUAACGGCGAGUGAAGCGGCAACAGCUCAAAUUUGAAAUCUGGCCCCCAGGCCCGAGUUGUAAUUUGUAGAGGAUGUUUCUGGCGACGCGCCUUCCGAGUUCCCUGGAACGGGACGCCAAAGAGGGUGAGAGCCCCGUCCGGUCGUGCGCCUAGCCUCUGUGAAACUCCUUCGACGAGUCGAGUAGUUUGGGAAUGCUGCUCUAAAUGGGAGGUAUACGUCUUCUAAAGCUAAAUACCGGCCAGAGACCGAUAGCGCACAAGUAGAGUGAUCGAAAGAUGAAAAGCACUUUGAAAAGAGGGUUAAAUAGUACGUGAAAUUGCUGAAAGGGAAGCGCUUAUGACCAGACUUGGGCUUGGUGAAUCAUCCGGCGUUCUCGCCGGUGCACUUUGCCGGUCCAGGCCAGCAUCAGUUCGCUUCGGGGGAUAAAGGCUUCGGGAAUGUAGCUCCCUCGGGAGUGUUAUAGACCGUUGCGUAAUACCCUGGGGUGGA